Molecule: ribosomal RNA, 287 nt
Filed under: uncultured Leotiomycetes
Lineage: Eukaryota; Fungi; Ascomycota; Leotiomycetes
Description: partial 28S ribosomal RNA
Rfam family: Eukaryotic large subunit ribosomal RNA
Source: RNAcentral
UUGACCUCGGAUCAGGUAGGGAUACCCGCUGAACUUAAGCAUAUCAAUAAGCGGAGGAAAAGAAACCAACAGGGAUUGCCUCAGUAACGGCGAGUGAAGCGGCAACAGCUCAAAUUUGAAAUCUGCCUCUAGGCCGAGUUGUAAUUUGUAGAAGAUGCUUCGGGUGUGGCACCGGUCUAAGUUCCUUGGAACAGGACGUCAUAGAGGGUGAGAAUCCCGUACGUGACUGGCUGCCUUCGCCUAUGUGAAGCUCCUUCGACGAGUCGAGUUGUUUGGGAAUGCAGCUC